GCCCGGGUAGCCCAACGGCAGAGGCAGCGCUCUUAAAAAGCGCCCAGUGCGGGUUCGAGUCCCGCCCCGGGCA
Molecule: transfer RNA, 73 nt
Filed under: Actinomycetota bacterium
Lineage: Bacteria; Bacillati; Actinomycetota
Description: tRNA-Leu
Rfam family: tRNA
About the family: Transfer RNA (tRNA) molecules are approximately 80 nucleotides in length. Their secondary structure includes four short double-helical elements and three loops (D, anti-codon, and T loops).
Source: RNAcentral